CUGAGGGUCUGGACUGUACUCCUGCAGCAUUGCACUCAAGGGGAAGUGUUGACGACUACUGGGAAGCCCUUGACCACUCUUCCCACGGGGAACGAAUCUCGUACCCCCGAGCGCCUGUUGGGAAAUGUGGACUUCUACCCUGAGAGUCGUCCUUCCCUCUCCCUGGGUGCCCAAGAGAAAAUACCGUAUAGAAAGGAAUUCCUGAAGUCUAAACCCCUCUAGUGAGGACAGGAGUGUUACUGGAAAGGGAACAAGCGAGAUGAUACACUCUUCAAAUAAGUUUUGCCAGUGGCAGAAUUGCAGUGGCUAUUCACAGACAACAUCUCACUACUGAUCAGCAUGGGAGUUCUGACCUGCUGUGUUUCCACCCUGGGCCAGUUUACCUCUCCUGAGGCAACCUGGUAGUCCUCUGCUCCUGGGAGAUCACCAUGUUGAUGUCGACUUAGUGUGGACACCCAGUGGGCAUAGCUCACUACACCUCAAAACUCCUGGGCUCAAGCGAUCCUCCUACUUCAGCCUCCCAAGUAGCUGGGACUGCAGGUGCCUGCCACCACAUCGGCUAUUUUCUGUUUUUAAAGAUGAUAGCUAACAUAGCUGUUGUAAAAUGGCAUCUCAUUAUUGGUUUGAUUUGCAUUUUCCUAAUGACUAAUAGUUGAGCAUCUUUUCACAUAAUUGUUGGUAACUUGUAUAUCUGAAAUUUCUAUUUGUAUCUUUGCCCAUUAGAAAAUUGGGUGGUUUCUCCUCUUGUUAUUGAGUUGUAAGAGUUCUUUCUUUCUUUCUUUUCUUUUUAAGAAACAGAGUCUCUCUUUGUUGCCCAGGCUGGAGUGCAAUGGUACAUCACGCCCCACUGCAGCCUUGACCUCCCAGGCUCAAACAAUCCUUCUGCCUCAGCCUCCUGAGUAGCUGGGACCACAGGCAUGGGUCACUAUGCCUGGCUACCUUUGUUUUUUGUUGUUGUUGUUUUUUGUUUGUUUAUUUGUUUCUUGUAGAGACAUGGUUUUCGCCAUGUUGCCCAGGCAGGCCUCAAACUCCUGGGCUCAAGCGAUCCACCCAUCUCAGCCUUCCAAAGUGCUGGGAUUAUAGGUGAGAGCCACCUCACCUGGUCUAAGAGUUCUUUAUAUAUUCUGAUACUAGAAGCCAUGCUGUAUGGUGUUUUCAUGCUCUUGACAAUGUCUCUGUAUGCAUAGCAUUUUUUUUUUGCUCUAGUCCAAUUUAUGUGGGGUUUUUUUAGCUUGUGCAUAUGGUGUCUUAUCUAAGAAUCC
Molecule: long non-coding RNA, 1262 nt
Filed under: Pan troglodytes (chimpanzee)
Lineage: Eukaryota; Metazoa; Chordata; Mammalia; Primates; Hominidae
Description: long non-coding RNA NONPTRT008547
Source: RNAcentral